GUAACACGUGGGUAACCUGCCCAUAAGACUGGGAUAACUCCGGGAAACCGGGGCUAAUACCGGAUAACAUUUUGAACCGCAUGGUUCGAAAUUGAAAGGCGGCUUCGGCUGACACUUAUGGAUGGACCCGCGUCCCAUUAGCUAGUUGGUGAGGUAACGGCUCACCAAGGCAACGAUGCGUAGCCGACCUGAGAGGGUGAUCGGCCACACUGGGACUGAGACACGGCCCAGACUCCUACGGGAGGCAGCAGUAGGGAAUCUUCCGCAAUGGACGAAAGUCUGACGGAGCAACGCCCCGCGAGUGAUGAAGGCUUUCGGGUCGUAAAACUCUGUUGUUAGGGAAGAACAAGUGCUAGUUGAAUAAGCUGGCCCUUGACGGUACCUAACCAGAAAGCCACGGCUAACUACGUGCCAGCAGCCGCGGUAAUACGUAGGUGGCAAGCGUUCUCCGGAAUUAUUGGGCGUAAAGCGCGCGCAGGUGGUUUCUUAAAUCUGAUGUGAAAGCCCACGGCUCAACCGUGGAGGGUCAUUGGAAACUGGGAGACUUGAGUGCAGAAGAGGAAAGUGGCAUUCCAUGUGUAGCGGUGAAAUGCGUACAGAUAUGGAGGAACACCAGUGGCGAAGGCGACUCUUCUGUUCUGUAACUGACACUGA
RNAcentral lists this ribosomal RNA (654 nucleotides) under Bacillus cereus. RNAcentral's name for it is "bacterial SSU rRNA". It matches the Rfam family "Bacterial small subunit ribosomal RNA", at positions 110 to 749 of the family's 1533-position model. Lineage: Bacteria; Bacillati; Bacillota; Bacilli; Caryophanales; Bacillaceae. The record is from RNAcentral.